Molecule: unclassified non-coding RNA, 228 nt
Filed under: Hevea brasiliensis (rubber tree)
Lineage: Eukaryota; Viridiplantae; Streptophyta; Magnoliopsida; Malpighiales; Euphorbiaceae
Source: RNAcentral
AGCAAUCAGCCAUUCAGCAGAAGAAUGUAAUCGAUCAUCGGCUGGGCCCAAACCUUUCAUGGUCCUUACAUCCUUGGGUUACAAUGGCCCAAACCUUAGCCCCACGGGCUUGAGAUUGAACAAGGACUUUAAGUUUGAACAGAAACUUGAACCUGAACCAGAUUUUCAGAAAAUGGAGAAAAUGGCCAAGCGAGGGGUGUGCAUUUGCUGGAUUCCAUGAAAAAGAGA